RNAcentral lists this ribosomal RNA (484 nucleotides) under uncultured bacterium. Its description in RNAcentral is "partial 16S ribosomal RNA". It matches the Rfam family "Bacterial small subunit ribosomal RNA", at positions 30 to 507 of the family's 1533-position model. The record is from RNAcentral.
AUUGAACGCUGGCGGCAGGCCUAACACAUGCAAGUCGAGCGGAUGAAGGGAGCUUGCUCCUGGAUUCAGCGGCGGACGGGCGAGUAAUGCCUAGGAAUCUGCCUGGUAGUGGGGGAUAACGUCCGGAAACGGGCGCUAAUACCGCAUACGUCCUGAGGGAGAAAGUGGGGGAUCUUCGGACCUCACGCUAUCAGAUGAGCCUAGGUCGGAUUAGCUAGUUGGUGGGGUAAAGGCCUACCAAGGCGACGAUCCGUAACUGGUCUGAGAGGAUGAUCAGUCACCCUGGAACUGAGACACGGUCCAGACUCCUGCGGGAGGCAGCAGUGGGGAAUAUUGGACAAUGGGCGAAAGCCUGAUCCAGCCAUGCCGCGUGUGUGAAGAAGGUCUUCGGAUUGUAAAGCACUUUUAGUUGGGAGGAAGGGCAGUAAGUUAAUACCUUGCUGUUUUGACGUUACCAACAGAAUAAGCACCGGCUAACUUCGUG